RNAcentral lists this ribosomal RNA (628 nucleotides) under uncultured eukaryote. Its description in RNAcentral is "eukaryotic LSU rRNA". The stretch from base 226 to 379 matches the Rfam family "5.8S ribosomal RNA". The record is from RNAcentral.
UCGUAGGUGANACCUGCGGAAGGAUCAAUCACAAUUGAAUCUUCAACCCCAGUAUUUCAGGAUGAGUGGAGCAAUCUACUCACGGGCUGACGAGUGUUGCUGCUAAAGGGCAGUAGCGCUCCACGCCAUCUGAUACCCGCGCUAGCGCGCCCUUCGGGGUUGUCGCUUGCGCAUCUCUUUUUUUUUAACACCAUUUACCGAUCAUCUAGUCAAAAAGUUUUUUACAACUAUUUGCGUUGGAUGUCUCGGCUCGGACAACGAUGAAGGACGCCGCUAAAUGCGAUAAGCGCUGUGAAUGGCAGAAUUCCGCGAAUCAAGAGAAUGCUGAACGCAUACUGCGCUUUUAGCCUUGGCUAGAAGCAUGUCUGUUAGAGGGCGUGUACACUUUCUUGUCUUCGAAGAUGUUGCAUUGCGCAGCUAUUCGUUGUACGUUCUUGUGCGUCGCCGACGUAUUUCCGUCGACGCAUGAAAUUUAAUGGUUUGAUGCGCAGUUUACCUCGCGUGGUGAUUUUUUAAAUUAUUCGCGAGUCGUAACUGAGCGUCGCUAAGCCAUCUCGAAGCCACUGCUGUUUUCAGCACCUCGCAUCUAAUCAGACAAGAGUACCCGCUGAAUUUAAGCAUAUCAAUA